Molecule: ribosomal RNA, 468 nt
Filed under: uncultured bacterium
Lineage: Bacteria
Description: partial 16S ribosomal RNA
Rfam family: Bacterial small subunit ribosomal RNA
Source: RNAcentral
GACGAACGCUGGCGGCGUGCUUAACACAUGCAAGUCGAACGGAAAGGCCCUGCUUUUGUGGGGUGCUCGAGUGGCGAACGGGUGAGUAACACGUGAGUAACCUGCCCUUGACUUUGGGAUAACUUCAGGAAACUGGGGCUAAUACCGGAUAGGAGCUCCUGCUGCAUGGUGGGGGUUGGAAAGUUUCGGCGGUUGGGGAUGGACUCGCGGCUUAUCAGCUUGUUGGUGGGGUAGUGGCUUACCAAGGCUUUGACGGGUAGCCGGCCUGAGAGGGUGACCGGCCACAUUGGGACGGAGAUACGGCCCAGACUCCUACGGGAGGCAGCAGUGGGGAAUAUUGCACAAUGGGCGGAAGCCUGAUGCAGCAACGCCGCGUGCGGGAUGACGGCCGUCGGGUUGUAAACCGCUUUCGCCUGUGACGAAGCGUGAGUGACGGUAAUGGGUAAAGAAGCACCGGCUAACUACGUG